UCUAGUAGCGAUAGCUGAGUGGUACCACCUGUUCCCAUACCGAACACAGUAGUUAAGCACUCAUACGCCGAAAGUACUUGUCUGGAAACGGGCUGGGAGGAUAGGGAGCUGCUAGUU
Molecule: ribosomal RNA, 117 nt
Filed under: Selenomonas sp.
Lineage: Bacteria; Bacillati; Bacillota; Negativicutes; Selenomonadales; Selenomonadaceae
Source: RNAcentral